This is a long non-coding RNA of Meriones unguiculatus (Mongolian gerbil), 706 nucleotides long. RefSeq lists it as uncharacterized. Lineage: Eukaryota; Metazoa; Chordata; Mammalia; Rodentia; Muridae. The record is from RefSeq and is a predicted model, not a curated record. The transcript has 3 exons.
CCCUGCAUCUGUGAGUAUGGGAAUGAUUAGGCUGGCUGUGUGCCCUGCACAGAUCAUUUCCAGCCCCGGCGCCAGAAGGAUUGUGCGGGAACGCAAAGCUGGGCAUCAAUGUGUCCUUCUUGAAACCCUGCUUUAAAGGACAAGUCAUGGCAGAUCUUGGGACGGCGGGGGGGGGGGGGGCUCUUGAAGAGGAUGGCCAGGAGACCGCAGGAACCCCAGGGGAACAGCAUCCUGGUUCCCUUGUCUUGGGUUGUGGAGAGUGCUUCCUUGGGGGAAGUGAUGGGAGCAGCUUCAGCUGGGUAGUGAAGCAAAUGGAGCCUUGCCUGGCAAAGAGGCAGAAGGGACUCCAGGCUUUUCUUGCCCGGGACAAAGUUUCUUGCAGGGCUUUGCAGGCUGCCUAGAAGGAGGUGGCUGUGGGACCAGCCAGCUGGCCUUUCUGCUUGCCACCACAGGAAGCAGCAGGCUGCCCUUGCCAGAAGUUGAACGGGUGCCAAUCACUGUGCUCCUGCAUUUGCCAACCUCCAGGACUGUGAACCAGAAUAAAUACCUUUUCUGUAUAAGCUUCCUGGUUCCAGGAAUUCUGACUAGGACAGUAUGCUUAUUUAAAGAUUUCUGGGGAAGAUGGAGCUGGAGAGAUGGCUUAGCAGGUAAGAGGACUUGUUGCUAUGGCAAAGGACGUGGGUUUUGUUCCCAGCCCCCUCACGGU